CACUCCUACGGGAGGCAGCAGUAGGGAAUCUUCCACAAUGGGUGCAAACCUGAUGGAGCAAUGCCGCGUGAGUGAAGAAGGUCUUCGGAUCGUAAAGCUCUGUUGUUAGAGAAGAACACGUGCUAGGUAACUACUAGCGCCUUGACGGUAUCUAACCAGAAAGUCACGGCUAACUACGUGCCAGCAGCCGCGGUAAUACGUAGGUGACAAGCGUUGUCCGGAUUUAUUGGGCGUAAAGGGAGCGCAGGCGGUCUGUUUAGUCUAAUGUGAAAGCCCACGGCUUAACCGUGGAACGGCAUUGGAAACUGACAGACUUGAAUGUAGAAGAGGAAAAUGGAAUUCCAAGUGUAGCGGUAGAAUGCGUAGAUAUUUGGAGGAACACCAGUGGCGAAGGCGAUUUUCUGGUCUAACAUUGACGCUGAGGCUCGAAAGCGUGGGGAGCGAACAGGAUUAGAAACCCUGGUAGUCCCA
This 471-nucleotide ribosomal RNA is filed under the name uncultured organism. Its description in RNAcentral is "partial 16S ribosomal RNA". It matches the Rfam family "Bacterial small subunit ribosomal RNA", at positions 334 to 797 of the family's 1533-position model. The record is from RNAcentral.